This 253-nucleotide ribosomal RNA is filed under the name uncultured bacterium. Its description in RNAcentral is "partial 16S ribosomal RNA". It matches the Rfam family "Bacterial small subunit ribosomal RNA", at positions 524 to 776 of the family's 1533-position model. The record is from RNAcentral.
UACAGGGGGGGCAAGCGUUGUUCGGAAUUACUGGGCGUAAAGAGCUCGUAGGCGGCUGUUCAAGUCGAACGUGAAAACUCGGAGCUCAACUCCGAGCCUGCGUUCGAUACUGGACGGCUAGAGUCUGGUAGGGGGAUCUGGAAUUCCUGGUGUAGCGGUGGAAUGCGCAGAUAUCAGGAGGAACACCGGUGGCGAAGGCGGGUCUCUGGGCCUUACCUGACGCUCAGGUGCGAAAGCUAGGGGAGCGAACAGG